This 783-nucleotide ribosomal RNA is filed under the name uncultured bacterium. RNAcentral's name for it is "bacterial SSU rRNA". It matches the Rfam family "Bacterial small subunit ribosomal RNA", at positions 9 to 783 of the family's 1533-position model. The record is from RNAcentral.
GAGUUUGAUCCUGGCUCAGGAUGAACGCUAGCGGCAGGCCUAACACAUGCAAGUCGAACGGUAACAGAGAAGAGCUUGCUCUUUUGCUGACGAGUGGCGCACGGGUGCGUAACGCGUAUACAAUCUACCUUUUACAGGGGUAUAGCCUUUAGAAAUGAAGAUUAACACCCCAUAGUAAGUACUUAUGGCAUCAUAGGGACUUUAAAACUUCGGUGGUAAAAGAUGAGUAUGCGUUCUAUUAGCUAGAUGGUGUGGUAACGGCACACCAUGGCAACGAUAGAUAGGGGCCCUGAGAGGGGGAUCCCCCACACUGGUACUGAGACACGGACCAGACUCCUACGGGAGGCAGCAGUGAGGAAUAUUGGACAAUGGGCGAGAGCCUGAUCCAGCCAUGCCGCGUGCAGGAAGACUGCCCUAUGGGUUGUAAACUGCUUUUAUAUGGGAAGAAACCCACCUACGUGUAGGUGGCUGACGGUACCAUAAGAAUAAGGAUCGGCUAACUCCGUGCCAGCAGCCGCGGUAAUACGGAGGAUCCAAGCGUUAUCCGGAAUCAUUGGGUUUAAAGGGUCCGUAGGUGGAUAAUUAAGUCAGAGGUGAAAUCCUGCAGCUCAACUGUAGAAUUGCCUUUGAAACUGGUUAUCUUGAAUUAUUGUGAAGUGGUUAGAAUAUGUAGUGUAGCGGUGAAAUGCAUAGAUAUUACAUAGAAUACCAAUUGCGAAGGCAGAUCACUAACAAUAUAUUGACACUGAUGGACGAAAGCGUGGGGAGCGAACAGGAUUAGAU